RNAcentral lists this ribosomal RNA (532 nucleotides) under uncultured bacterium. RNAcentral describes it as "bacterial SSU rRNA". It matches the Rfam family "Archaeal small subunit ribosomal RNA", at positions 723 to 1262 of the family's 1478-position model. The record is from RNAcentral.
ACCCAAUAGAUACCCGGGUAGUCCCAGCUGUAAACGAUGCAGGCUAGGUGUUUGGACGGCCACGUGCCGUUCUAGUGCCGCAGGGAAGCUGUUAAGCCUGCCGCCUGGGGAGUACGAUCGCAAGAUUGAAACUUAAAGGAAUUGGCGGGGGAGCACCACAAGGGGUGAAGCUUGCGGUUUAAUUGGAGUCAACGCCGGAAAUCUCACCGGGAGCGACAGCAGUGUGAAGGCCAGAUUAAAGGUCUUGCCAGACGAGCUGAGAGGAGGUGCAUGGCCGUCGCCAGUUCGUGCCGUGAGGUGUCCUGUUAAGUCAGGCAACGAUCGAGACCCGCGUCCUCUGUUGCUACUAGCCUUGUGCUGGGCACACUGAGGAGACCCGCCACUGAUAAAGUGGAGGAAGGAGCGGGCCACGGCAGGUCAGUAUGCCCCGAAUCUCCCGGGCACACGCGAGCUGCAAUGGCAGGUACAAUGGGUUCCGACCUCGAAAGGGGUAGGCAAUCUCGAAAGCCUGCCGUAGUUGGGAUUGAGGGUU